AGAGUUUGAUCCUGGCUCAGGACGAACGCUGGCGGCGUGCCUAAUACAUGCAAGUAGAACGCUGAAGAGAGGAGCUUGCUCUUCUUGGAUGAGUUGCGAACGGGUGAGUAACGCGUAGGUAACCUGCCUUGUAGCGGGGGAUAACUAUUGGAAACGAUAGCUAAUACCGCAUAACAAUGGAUGACACAUGUCAUUUAUUUGAAAGGGGCAAUUGCUCCACUACAAGAUGGACCUGCGUUGUAUUAGCUAGUAGGUGAGGUAACGGCUCACCUAGGCGACGAUACAUAGCCGACCUGAGAGGGUGAUCGGCCACACUGGGACUGAGACACGGCCCAGACUCCUACGGGAGGCAGCAGUAGGGAAUCUUCGGCAAUGGGGGCAACCCUGACCGAGCAACGCCGCGUGAGUGAAGAAGGUUUUCGGAUCGUAAAGCUCUGUUGUAAGUCAAGAACGAGUGUGAGAGUGGAAAGUUCACACUGUGACGGUAGCUUACCAGAAAGGGACGGCUAACUACGUGCCAGCAGCCGCGGUAAUACGUAGGUCCCGAGCGUUGUCCGGAUUUAUUGGGCGUAAAGCGAGCGCAGGCGGUUUGAUAAGUCUGAAGUUAAAGGCUGUGGCUCAACCAUAGUUCGCUUUGGAAACUGUCAAACUUGAGUGCAGAAGGGGAGAGUGGAACUCCAUGUGUAGCGGUG
RNAcentral lists this ribosomal RNA (692 nucleotides) under uncultured Streptococcus sp. RNAcentral describes it as "bacterial SSU rRNA". It matches the Rfam family "Bacterial small subunit ribosomal RNA", at positions 8 to 683 of the family's 1533-position model. The record is from RNAcentral. Lineage: Bacteria; Bacillati; Bacillota; Bacilli; Lactobacillales; Streptococcaceae.